Molecule: ribosomal RNA, 433 nt
Filed under: uncultured bacterium
Lineage: Bacteria
Description: partial 16S ribosomal RNA
Rfam family: Bacterial small subunit ribosomal RNA
Source: RNAcentral
AACGAACGCUGGCGGCAUGCCUAACACAUGCAAGUCGAACGAGACCUUCGGGUCUAGUGGCGCACGGGUGCGUAACGCGUGGGAACCUGCCCUUAGGUUCGGAAUAACUCCCCGAAAGGGGUGCUAAUACCGGAUAAUGUCUUCGGACCAAAGAUUUAUCGCCUUUGGAUGGGCCCGCGUUGGAUUAGCUAGUUGGUAGGGUAAAAGCCUACCAAGGCGACGAUCCAUAGCUGGUCUGAGAGGAUGAUCCGCCACACUGGGACUGAGACACGGCCCCGACCCCUACGGGAGGGAGCAGUGGGGAAUAUUGGAAAAUGGGCGAAAGCCUGAUCCCGCAAUGCCGGGUGAGUGAUGAAGGCCUUAGGGUUGGAAAGCUCUUUUACCCGGGAUGAUAAUGACAGUACCGGGAGAAUAAGCUCCGGCUAACUCCGUG